RNAcentral lists this long non-coding RNA (354 nucleotides) under Gallus gallus (chicken). RNAcentral describes it as "long non-coding RNA NONGGAT006955". Lineage: Eukaryota; Metazoa; Chordata; Aves; Galliformes; Phasianidae. The record is from RNAcentral.
CUGGCUCCUGCUCUGUUCAUGAAAAGAAUGUAAUGGAAAGAAUAUGUGUAAAGGAUAAUGCUGCUGAGCUGAACCUCGUGCCAGUAUUUGUGUGACUGUGUGAUACUGUGGGACUUCAGUCUCACUGCUGCAUUUCAGACCAGGGCACAGUUAGCUAAGCAGAGUGACCUGAUUCAUGCUGGAUCAACAUGUUAUCAACUUGAGGUUGUCACUACAAAGUAAGUGUGGUGAAGUCUGCCUGUUCCAACUAAAAUCAAAGCCAUCUCCUGACAUACGGUAGUGCUGAAGUCAGCGGUUUCUACGAAGUGGGUCUAAAUGCAGAUUGAAGGAUCUCUUCGGUGUAUAAGUGUAACU